GUUGUAUCUGGAAACAUGUUUAGCUCUGAAGUGUUUUGUCAGGAAACACGUUUAGCUGUGAAGUGUUUUGAAUGUAAACAUGUUUAGACCAUAAAGGGUCGUGAAGAAACAUGUUUAUCGUUUUAGUGCGAUAAGCCGUUACUUCAUUAGACCCCAAAUAAACUAAUAUUCCGGAAGGCUAGACUGUAAAACGUAUGAUAGCUCUCAAUACUACAUGUUUUCAUACCAUCACAAAAGGAG
RNAcentral lists this long non-coding RNA (240 nucleotides) under Mytilus galloprovincialis (Mediterranean mussel). Lineage: Eukaryota; Metazoa; Mollusca; Bivalvia; Mytilida; Mytilidae. The record is from RNAcentral.